UACGUAGGGUGCAAGCGUUGUCCGGAAUUAUUGGGCGUAAAGAGCUCGUAGGUGGUUUGUUGCGUCGGCUGUGAAAUCCCGAGGCUCAACCUCGGGUCUGCAGUCGAUACGAGCAAACUAGAGUGUUGCAGGGGAGACUGGAAUUCCUGGUGUAGCGGUGAAAUGCGCAGAUAUCAGGAGGAACACCGGUGGCGAAGGCGGGUCUCUGGGCAACAACUGACGCUGAGGAGCGAAAGCGUGGGGAGCGAACAGG
Molecule: ribosomal RNA, 253 nt
Filed under: uncultured bacterium
Lineage: Bacteria
Description: partial 16S ribosomal RNA
Rfam family: Bacterial small subunit ribosomal RNA
Source: RNAcentral